Arachis stenosperma is the source of this 397-nucleotide long non-coding RNA. RefSeq lists it as uncharacterized. The record is from RefSeq and is a predicted model, not a curated record. The transcript is spliced from 2 exons. Lineage: Eukaryota; Viridiplantae; Streptophyta; Magnoliopsida; Fabales; Fabaceae.
AUUGAAACGUGGCUCAUAUGCAUACAUAUAUACACAUAUAACAAUGACACCUCACAUCCUCACUAAUAAAAAUCUCCACCUAUCCCCUUUCAUUAAUUCAUUAUUGCCAUGGACAGGGAGAAGAAAGAAAGGCCGAGAGAGAGGGUGAGCUUCCAUGGAAACCAUGAGAUUUCGAUUCCAAUUUCUUGAGAUCGUGACUGGUUCCAAGGUUCAAUAUGAAGCUGCGGAUGAGUGGUAGAUUUACUUGUGAUUCCUAUUGUUUUCAUAGAAUUCCCUUGCCUUUAUUGAUUAGGAUUUUAUUUUAUACAGAGGGAUAUGAAUUGUAUCUAAGUUACAUUUGAAUUCUUUUGUAUGAUAUUUAUUAUUAUUAAUAACUAUGUGACUAGUAUUAUUUGGA